RNAcentral lists this ribosomal RNA (388 nucleotides) under uncultured bacterium. RNAcentral's name for it is "bacterial SSU rRNA". It matches the Rfam family "Bacterial small subunit ribosomal RNA", at positions 27 to 408 of the family's 1533-position model. The record is from RNAcentral.
GAACGAACGCUGGCGGCGCGCUUAACACAUGCAAGUCGAACGAGAAGGCGUAGCAAUACGCUUGUACAGUGGCGAACGGGUGAGUAAUACGUGGGCGACCUACCCUCGAGUGGGGAAUAACCCGCCGAAAGGCGGGCUAAUGCCGCGUACGCUUCCAUCUUUAUGGAGGUGGAAGGAAAGCCGUGCCGUGGGCACGGCGCUCAAGGAUGGGCUCACGUCCUAUCAGCUUGUUGGAGGGUAACGGCCUACCAAGGCUCCGACGGGUAGCUGGUCUGAGAGGACGAUCAGCCACACUGGCACUGCGACACGGGCCAGACUCCUACGGGAGGCAGCAGUGAGGAAUAUUGCGCAAUGGGCAAAGCCUGACGCAGCGACGCCGCGUGGGGGA